CUUCUUUAUCAAAGUUAUGGACUCGCGUCAGUUACAUGCACGUUUAUACAUUUAAAUAUAGAUAAUUAAAAUACAAAUUGUGAAAAGUUAUCCCCUAGAGGCAAGAUACCAUACAACUGGAAGGGGAAGGAGAAAGUAUUAGUUUUACUUUAGAUACACAGGUAAUACAUAGACAGUUAAAAUGAAUAGAUAUCAUUUUUGUAAGUUGAUUGAAACGGCAUCAAAUACAAAGGAAAAAACAGAAAGGUCAAAAUAAGUUUUUAGCAAAUUAUAAGAGACUCAAAAUUAUUAGGAUCUCUGUACCUUGAUUUACGAAUUUAUAAAAGGAGGGGAUUGAGUUCAGUGAUUUAUAUAAUUCCUUCCUUCUCUAGAAUUCUCAGAAGGCGGCGAACGUCCUGUUCUCGAAAAAUGUACAACAGAUAUGAUAGAAGAGAGUCAUAUUUGUGAAGGAUUUUGGAUAAGUAAAGACGCUUCUAAGUUAAUGCUGUAGAGAUAAGGACUACAGGAACCACAGUGGAAAACCGGACCUGUUCCAAGAAACAGGGUUUUGACUGUCAGUCUCGGCCCUGCCAAUUAUUUUCUGUGUGACCUUGGGCAAGACAGUUUAAUUAAAUGCUUUGGGUUUAAACUCUUUAAACCUGUCUAAAGCAGUUUCCAAACCUGUCUGUUCAUUAGAAUAAGUCGAAGAUUUAAAAAAAAAUACGCAUGCCGUGCACCCUGUAGAAUGUGCACCUAUGUCACCAAAAGACACGUACAAGAAUGUUUUUCUGUCAAGUGCCAGAGAGCAAAUAUUUGACCACCGUAUGGUCUCCGUUGCAACCCGACUCUGCCAUUGUGGUGUGAAAGCAGCUGUAGACAAUACAGAAGCAAGUGAGCCGGGUCCUGCUUCAAUAAAACUUUAUUUACAAAACAGGAGGUUGACCGCCUACUGCAUAGCGAUGAAAACAAGCUGUAACUACAGGCCAUAACAUAGACGAAUUUCACAAACAUACUGUUAAGUAAGAGAAGCCAGAUACAAAAGAACACACAAUGUGAUCCCAUUCAUAUGAAUCUGCCAUAAUAGGCAAAAGAGGGCACCUGGGUGGCUCCGUGGGUUAAGCAACAGACUCUUGAUUUCGUCUCAUGUCAGGAUUUCACUGUUGGUGAGCUCGAGCCCUGCAGUGGGUUCUGCGCUGACACCACAGGGUCUGCUUGGGAUUCUCUCUUUCCCUCCCUCUCGAAAUAAAUAAAUACACUUAGCAAAAGUAAGCGAUGAUGUUAGAAGUCGGAAUAUAGUCGUUAUCUUGGGAGAGUGGAAACUAGUUCAAGCAAUGACCAGUAGUGAUUGUCUUCUGGACUGGGUUGCUCUAUUACUGGAUUUGAGACUCUGUUCGCUUUGUGAAAAUUAAUUGUACCAUAUGCUUAACAAUAUUUACCUUUUUUUUUUUUCUGGCAUAAGCUUUACUUCAGUGAAAAGGUUACACACAAAGUAGGUAUUUCAGGGUCUCCCUGUAAGAGUCUGGGACAGUCGGGCGGAGAUUUGGCCGGAAAUCUAUCCUAAUCCAGCCCUGAAGAGGUAAGUGACCUGCGCGAGGUGACAUUAUCGGCAGAGCCGACACAGAGCGAGAUCUUAGCCAUUUCGGGCGUGGGCUGAGUCAGUUCUGCAGAAAGAGAGGACACCGCACCUGUUCUUGAGAAUGGACUGAUAAUUAGCUAAAGGAAGCCAACCUUACCCUCCGGACUUCAACCUGAAGUGGUUUUUGCACCUGAAUAUUCUCAUCGGCUUCUGCCACCUGGACAAUAUCCAGUUCAGAGCUUCAGGGACCAGCAGCAUUUCUGGGAAACUGCCAGAAGGCUUUCAGAACUCCGCAUGAGCACAGCAGCCAGCGUUCAAGGUGGAUGAUCUCUGCAUUUUUUCCAUUGCCUGGUGGCUGCUUUUAUAAGGGCACUGUGGUAUAGCAGACACGACCCGAAGUUUGUGUUCAAACAGCACUGUGAAUGGGAACUGAGGCCUGGUCAUCAGAAACUCUGGAUUCUAGUGGCUUGGUAAAUCACUUUUAUUCCCUUACCAGUGGAAUGAAGACAUCGGAUCAGACGUUUCACCUCCGUCGCCUCCCCCCCAUGCUACGACUCCUGUUUGACGCUUUACUCCAGACACACCUCCCCUGUGACAGCGCAUUCCACGUGAGCACCCUGGAAGUGGCACUCUUGUCUUGGUUUGAAAAGCAAGGGUUUGGGGCGCCUGGGUGGCUUGGUCGGUUAAGCGUCCGACUUCGGCUCAGGUCAUGAUCUUAUGGCCA
Long non-coding RNA from Felis catus (domestic cat), 2279 nucleotides. RefSeq lists it as uncharacterized. The transcript is spliced from 3 exons. Lineage: Eukaryota; Metazoa; Chordata; Mammalia; Carnivora; Felidae. The record is from RefSeq and is a predicted model, not a curated record.